RNAcentral lists this microRNA precursor (121 nucleotides) under Mustela putorius furo (domestic ferret). RNAcentral describes it as "miRNA (ENSMPUG00000023320.1)". Lineage: Eukaryota; Metazoa; Chordata; Mammalia; Carnivora; Mustelidae. The record is from RNAcentral.
AUCAUCUACAAUGUAUUCUAUAAGAUGUAUGUAUAUAUAUAUAUGUGUGUGUGUGUGUGUGUGUGUGUGUGUGUAUAUAUAUAUAUAUAUAUAUAUAUAUGAUGUAUAUCAUAUACUAUAC